Small nucleolar RNA from Meriones unguiculatus (Mongolian gerbil), 128 nucleotides. NCBI's taxonomy places the organism in Eukaryota, Metazoa, Chordata, Mammalia, Rodentia, Muridae. The record is from Ensembl.
AUUCCCUGUGUUGCGGUUGUGGCUGCCAUGUCUCACGUGCGUUGGUAGAUGGCAGAGAGGAGAGAGGCUAUGUCUGUGUGCCCAAUGUCCUGACCUAUGAACAUCUUAAUGAUUAGUAGCCUAACACU